GGGGUGUGCUCAGAGCAGGGCGCCUGAAAUGGCUUCUCUGUUUACAACACACCCAAUGGGAAUUUAGGGACAUGGUGACAAGGGACACAAAACGCGUGACUUCUCUGUGAGCAAAUGUGCUGCACAU
Molecule: small nucleolar RNA, 127 nt
Organism: Octodon degus (degu)
Lineage: Eukaryota; Metazoa; Chordata; Mammalia; Rodentia; Octodontidae
Source: Ensembl